GGAGAGCUGGAAACUGUUCCCCAGGGCAUGAUAGCACAAAAUGACUUUGCUAUAUUCCCUCUCCAGCCUAGCAUCAGGGCUCAGGCAGGAACACAGCCAUCGCGCCCCCAGAGCAGCUUCCUGUUGUUAGGGCCUACAAGUGAAGCUCCAUAAUGACGUUCAUCUGGUCUAAUACACUUAACUGCCAAAGCAUCCGCCAAACGAGAAUACAGUUAAAACAAAAAUUCUUGAGAUGAUGUCACCAAAAA
Long non-coding RNA from Bubalus bubalis (water buffalo), 248 nucleotides. RefSeq lists it as uncharacterized. The transcript has 2 exons. NCBI's taxonomy places the organism in Eukaryota, Metazoa, Chordata, Mammalia, Artiodactyla, Bovidae. The record is from RefSeq and is a predicted model, not a curated record.